UAGGGUGACCAGCUAUUUUGGUUUGCCUGAGACUGAGGGGUGUUCUGGGAUGCAGGACUUGUAGGGCUAAAACUAGGAAUGUC
Molecule: microRNA precursor, 83 nt
Filed under: Myotis lucifugus (little brown bat)
Lineage: Eukaryota; Metazoa; Chordata; Mammalia; Chiroptera; Vespertilionidae
Description: miRNA (ENSMLUG00000027944.1)
Source: RNAcentral